Molecule: long non-coding RNA, 202 nt
Filed under: Elaeis guineensis (African oil palm)
Lineage: Eukaryota; Viridiplantae; Streptophyta; Magnoliopsida; Arecales; Arecaceae
Description: long non-coding RNA (EGUI_LNC048613)
Source: RNAcentral
AUUUUUCUGCUGUUUGUGGUGUCGGCUAUUUUUAUACAAUAUAAAAUGCUCAUACUGAUGUUAAUGCUAAUUCUGAUGCUAAUGUAAAUGAAGUUUCAAAUACUAAAAAGCUAAAUUUUAAAUAUUCAAAAGCUAACUCAAAAACAUUUACAAGCCAAAAUGAACUUCUGUCCAAACUGAAUACACAUACACAUAUAUUUUC